GGUCUUGAGUUUGAAUCCUUUUCCUUAUAAAAUAGCUUAAUUUUGAAAAUUUUCUCCUUCCGCCUAUUUUUGUGCUACCCAUACCUUAUAACCUAGGUAUAAAUAUCACUAUUCAUCCUAUAGUCAUUAAUUUCCAACCCUAGUUGCCUCAUCCAACUUCUCUCUUCUCUUCCUCUUCAAUUUUUCUUCUCUUCUCCUUCACUUUGCCGCUGCCCAAAACCCCUUUUUUGUCACCCAUCUUUUCUUCAUUAGCAGUGGACUUUUGUACCAUUUUCCUUCUCUUCAUUGCUAUAUUAUUCCCUUAAUUUUCCAGUCUUAAAUAUGAUAUUUUUAUCACUUGAAAGAAUACCUCCAUAGUUGCCACAAGGUUCUCCAUUGUCGACCCUUAGAUAUGUCUCAAGCGCUAAUUUAAAAACCCCGAAUCAGCAAUGAAGCCGUUAGUCAUUCACACGCACACUACACGAAUUUAAGGUUUUAGGGACGUUUUUUCCACAACCAAUCAGUAAGUUUUUUCCAUUUGUUUCUUGAGAAAAAUUAAAAAAAGUCAAGCGUUUUAUUUCAUUUUGUAUAUUAGGCUUUCAGAAAUUUCAGGGUCAAAGGAUAACAAUUUUAGGAGGUAUUUUCACUACACGGAAUGUUCAGAUCGAUUAAGUUAUACUUGUUUGGGGACUUCAUGAAUUCUGGGCUUUCGAUAAUGUGUUUAAUUUUCAGAAAAGUUACGAUGGAGACAAUUUGUUACUUGUAUGCCUAAGCUUAGCUUUGUGCUUGAAAUUUUAAUGCUUUAUAUGCCUAAAACCUUUGUAUAUGAUUUGGUGAAUCAACGGAUCGGAUGGACCAACUAUGACUGUAAGUGUCAAAAUGAACUUUCAUAUUAUACAUUAGAAUAGAUUUAUCCACUAAUCUCCAGUUUAACAACCUCCUAAAUCCUGUAAAACGACUUUUCCACCAUCACGUUGUUAAAAGGACAUAUUCAAUAGAAGCGGAAGAUGUUAAAAUUACAGGUUUCAAAGGUUUACUGUGAUUGACUGUAGUGUAAAUUACAUUCAUACAUGUUCUUUUUUUACGGUAAAUUUAUUUUAUACUAGCGUUCUUGCAUUUGUUACUUUAA
This is a long non-coding RNA of Gossypium arboreum, 1108 nucleotides long. RefSeq lists it as uncharacterized. Lineage: Eukaryota; Viridiplantae; Streptophyta; Magnoliopsida; Malvales; Malvaceae. The transcript is spliced from 2 exons. The record is from RefSeq and is a predicted model, not a curated record.